RNAcentral lists this non-coding RNA (449 nucleotides) under Bacillus methanolicus MGA3. The record is from RNAcentral. Lineage: Bacteria; Bacillati; Bacillota; Bacilli; Caryophanales; Bacillaceae.
AAUCCAAACAAACCGGUUUGUCAUUAAGCGUCCGGCUGUUUCAGGAGGGUAUUUCAUAAUAUCCUGGACAAUUUUUGAUUCUUCCUGUUUCAUUCCGGCUAGUAAGCCUGAAAUUUUUUCGGGUGACAGGUCAUCUAAAAGAGAAGCAAGAUCAUCGUUAUCCAUUAAAUCGAGAACCUUUCCGGUUUUCUCGAUGCCAAGUUUAUUUAAAACUUCGAUUUGUUUUUCUCUGUUCAAUUCUUCUAUUAAAUCAGCAAGCUGGUCGAUUUUUAAAUAAAGUAAAAAACGUGUUUUAUGCUUCUCCGGCAGAUUUUCAUAUAACUGAGCAAUAUCGUAUGGCUGUAGUUCGUCCAUUAUAUCUUCGAAAACUUUCUUCUUGUUUUCUUUCAAAGAUUUGAUGAUAUGAAGAGUAAUUUGAUCCUCUGUUAUGUUUUUAAUCAUGCUUUUCA